Molecule: ribosomal RNA, 261 nt
Filed under: uncultured bacterium
Lineage: Bacteria
Description: partial 16S ribosomal RNA
Rfam family: Bacterial small subunit ribosomal RNA
Source: RNAcentral
GUCCACGCCGUAAACGUUGGGCACUAGGUGUGGGUCUCAACCAACGAGAUCCGCGCCGUCGCUAACGCAUUAAGUGCCCCGCCUGGGGAGUACGGUCGCAAGACUAAAACUCAAAGGAAUUGACGGGGGCCCGCACAAGCAGCGGAGCGUGUUGCUUAAUUCGAUGUUACGCGAAGAACCUUACCUGGGUUUGACAUGUAGGGAAAAGCUCUAGAGAUAGGGUGUCCUAACGGGCCUACACAGGUGGUGCAUGGCUGUCGU